This 449-nucleotide ribosomal RNA is filed under the name uncultured bacterium. Its description in RNAcentral is "partial 16S ribosomal RNA". It matches the Rfam family "Bacterial small subunit ribosomal RNA", at positions 29 to 523 of the family's 1533-position model. The record is from RNAcentral.
AGCGAACGCUGGCGGCAGGCUUAACACAUGGAAGUCGAACGGGCACUUCGGUGUCAGUGGCAGACGGGUGAGUAACACGUGGGAACGUACCUCUUGGUUCGGAACAACACAGGGAAACUUGUGCUAAUACCGGAUAAGCCCUUACGGGGAAAGAUUUAUCGCCGAGAGAUCGGCCCGCGUCUGAUUAGCUAGUUGGUCGGGUAACGGCCUACCAAGGCGACGAUCAGUAGCUGGUCUGAGAGGAUGAUCAGCCACAUUGGGACUGAGACACGGCCCAAACUCCUACGGGAGGCAGCAGUGGGGAAUAUUGGACAAUGGGGGCAACCCUGAUCCAGCCAUGCCGCGUGAGUGAUGAAGGCCCUAGGGUUGUAAAGCUCUUUUGUGCGGGAAGAUAAUGACGGUACCGCAAGAAUAAGCCCCGGCUAACUUCGUGCCAGCCGCCGCCGUAA